This 78-nucleotide transfer RNA is filed under the name Cereibacter sphaeroides. Its description in RNAcentral is "Rhodobacter sphaeroides tRNA-Arg". It matches the Rfam family "tRNA". From Rfam's summary of the family: Transfer RNA (tRNA) molecules are approximately 80 nucleotides in length. Their secondary structure includes four short double-helical elements and three loops (D, anti-codon, and T loops). The record is from RNAcentral. Lineage: Bacteria; Pseudomonadati; Pseudomonadota; Alphaproteobacteria; Rhodobacterales; Paracoccaceae.
GGGCUCAUAGCCUCAACUGGAUAGAGCAGCCGACUUCUAAUCGGCAGGUUGAGGGUUCGAGUCCUUCUGGGCCCGCCA